Molecule: ribosomal RNA, 315 nt
Filed under: uncultured bacterium
Lineage: Bacteria
Description: bacterial SSU rRNA
Rfam family: Bacterial small subunit ribosomal RNA
Source: RNAcentral
ACUCGCAAGAGCCUCGCGCGAUUGGAGCGGCCGAUAUCAGAUUAGGUAGUUGGUGGGGUAAAGGCUCACCAAGCCAACGAUCUGUAGCUGGUCUGAGAGGACGACCAGCCACACUGGAACUGAGACAUGGUCCAGACUCCUACGGGAGGCAGCAGUGGGGAAUUUUGGACAAUGGACGCAAGUCUGAUCCAGCCAUUCCGCGUGCAGGAUGAAGGCCCUCGGGUUGUAAACUGCUUUUGUACGGAACGAAAAGGUUUGUCUUAAUACGAUGAGCUCAUGACGGUACCGUAAGAAUAAGCACCGGCUAACUACGUG